This 402-nucleotide ribosomal RNA is filed under the name bacterium. Its description in RNAcentral is "partial 16S ribosomal RNA". It matches the Rfam family "Bacterial small subunit ribosomal RNA", at positions 355 to 776 of the family's 1533-position model. The record is from RNAcentral.
UGGGGAAUUUUGCACAAUGGGGGAAACCCUGAUGCAGCGACGCCGCGUGAUUUAGAAGGCCUUCGGGUUGUAAAAAUCUUUUCUAUGGGAAGAAAAUGACAGUACCAUAGGAAUAAGGACCGGCUAAUUACGUGCCAGCAGCCGCGGUAAUACGUAAGGUCCGAGCGUUGUCCGGAAUCAUUGGGCGUAAAGGGUACGUAGGCGGGUAAGCAAGUUAGAAGUGAAAUCCUAUAGCUCAACUAUAGUAAGCUUUUAAAACUGCUCAUCUUGAGGUAUGGAAGGGAGAGUGGAAUUCCUAGUGUAGCGGUGAAAUGCGCAGAUAUUAGGAGGAAUACCGGUGGCGAAGGCGACUUUCUGGCCAUAACCUGACGCUGAGGUACGAAAACGUGGGUAGCAGACAAG